GGAGGCGCAGCGAGAGCGAGUCUGAAUAGGGCGAAUGAGUUACUUGCAUUAGACCCGAAACCGGGUGACCUAUCCAUGAGCAGGCUGAAGCGGUGGUAAGACACCGUGGAGGGCCGCACCCACGUCCGUUGAAAAGGCCGGGGAUGACUUGUGGAUAGCGGAGAAAUUCCAAUCGAACUCGGAUAUAGCUGGUUCUCCCCGAAAUAGCUUUAGGGCUAGCGUUAUGAUAGAUUACCGGAGGUAAAGCACUGAAUGGGCUAGGGGCCGCGAGGUUACUGAACCCUAUCAAACUAAGAAUGCCGGAUAAUUGUUUCAUAGCAGUCAGACUACGUGAGAUAAGUCUCGUGGUCAAAAGGGAAACAGCCCAGAUCCGCAGCUAAGGUCCCAAAUAGAUGCUAAGUGGAAAAUGAUGUGAAACUGCGAAAACAACCAGGAUGUUGGCUUAGAAGCAGCCACUCAUUCAAAGAGUGCGUAAUAGCUCACUGGUCGAGUGGUUUUGCGCAGAAAAUGUAACGGGGCUAAGCAUCUAACCGAAGCUCGGGCAGUAUCUAAUACUGGGUAGGGGAGCGUUGUGUACGGAACGAAGUCAGAGCGAAAGCACUGGUGGACUUUACACAAGUGAGAAUGCCGGAAUAAGUAGCGAGAAUUAUGUGAGAAUCAUAAUGGCCGAAAAUCUAAGGUUUCUUGGGGAAGGUUCGUCCGCCCAAGGUUAGUCGGGAGCUAAGGCGAGGCCUAACGGCGUAGUCGAUGCACAUACGGUAGAAAUUCCGUAACCACCGAACUUUAAGCAUAAGGGACGCUUUCAUUAAGGUUAUCCCGGGCGAUGGUUGCCCCGGGCGUAAGGGACCGAAAUAUAGUAGGGAAGUAACUGGCGUGAGAGACGAGAAAAGCUUAUGUGUAUACUAAGGUGCCCGUACCGCAAACCGACACAGGUAGAUGGGAUGAGUAUUCUAAGGCCAACGGGAGAAGGGUUGUUAAGGAACUCGGCAAAUUGGCCCCGUAACUUCGGGAUAAGGGGCGCCUGCGAGAGCAGGCCGCAGUGAAAAGGCCCAAGCGACUGUUUAGCAAAAACACAGCUCUCUGCUAAAUCGAAAGAUGAUGUAUAGGGGGUGACGCCUGCCCGGUGCUGGAAGGUUAAGGGGAGUGCUUAGCGCAAGCGAAGGUGCGAACUUAAGCCCCAGUAAACGGCGGCCGUAACUAUAACGGUCCUAAGGUAGCGAAAUUCCUUGUCAGGUAAGUUCUGACCCGCACGAAUGGCGUAACGAUUUGGGCACUGUCUCAACAGCCCGCCCGGCGAAAUUGUAGUACCGGUGAAGAUGCCGGUUACCCGCAACUAGACGGAAAGACCCCAUGGAGCUUCACUGUAGCUUGAUAUUGGAUUUCGGUAUUCCAUGUACAGGAUAGGUGGGAGACUAGGAAACACGGGCGCCAGCUUGUGCGGAGUCAACCUUGGGAUACCACUCUUGGGAUACUGGAAUUCUAACCUGCGGCCCUGAAUCGGGUCGGGGGACACUGUCAGGUGGGCAGUUUGACUGGGGCGGUCGCCUCCUAAAAGGUAACGGAGGCGCUCAAAGGUUCGUUCAGCACGGACGGAAAUCGUGCGGUGAGUGUAAACGCAUAAACGAGCCUAACUGCGAGAAUGACGGUUCGAGCAGUAACGAAAGUUGGAGUUAGUGAUCCGGCGGUAUGUGAAUGGAAAUGCCGUCGCUCAACGGAUAAAAGCUACCCUGGGGAUAACAGGCUGAUCUCCCCCAAGAGUCCACAUCGACGGGGAGGUUUGGCACCUCGAUGUCGGCUCAUCACAUCCUGGGGCUGAAUUCGGUCCCAAGGGUUCGGCUGUUCGCCGAUUAAAGUGGUACGCGAGCUGGGUUCAGAACGUCGUGAGACAGUUCGGUCCCUAUCUGUUGCGGGCGUAGGAAUAUUGAGAGGAGCUGCCCUUAGUACGAGAGGACCGGGGUGGACGUACCGCUGGUGCACCAGUUGUUCCGCCAGGAGCAUAGCUGGGUAGCUAAGUACGGACGAGAUAAACGCUGAAGGCAUCUAAGCGUGAAACUUCCCUCGAGAUAAGUAUUCCCACUCUUCGGAGGUAAGGCCCCACGUAGACUAUGUGGUUGAUAGGUCAGGAGUGGAAGUGUGGUAACACAUGCAGCGGACUGAUACUAAUAGGCCGAGGGCUUGACCUAA
RNAcentral lists this ribosomal RNA (2184 nucleotides) under Butyricicoccus pullicaecorum. RNAcentral describes it as "bacterial LSU rRNA". It matches the Rfam family "Bacterial large subunit ribosomal RNA", at positions 662 to 2925 of the family's 2925-position model. The record is from RNAcentral. Lineage: Bacteria; Bacillati; Bacillota; Clostridia; Eubacteriales; Butyricicoccaceae.